This 710-nucleotide long non-coding RNA is filed under the name Capsicum annuum. RNAcentral's name for it is "long non-coding RNA (CANN_LNC002259)". Lineage: Eukaryota; Viridiplantae; Streptophyta; Magnoliopsida; Solanales; Solanaceae. The record is from RNAcentral.
GCGAGUAACACUACACCAUUGUGCCGCUUCCCGUUAAGGGAUCCCUCCGGCAAUGCUCCAAAUUACUGCCAUGAAAGUACCAACAACCACAAGAACAUCGCCAGCCGUCGCCCCAUUCCUCUUUUCUCGUUGGCCAUGUUCACAUCGAAAUUAAGGACUGGUGAGGUCCCAUUUUGGUGACCCUAACUAUUAUAUGGUUUGAUCCCUCAAUCCUUUAACUGCAUGUUUGUUUUCUUCGGUUUGAUUUGCAUGUUGUUUUUCUUCUUUGGGUGCUAAUUGCCUAAAUUAAUCCCUUAGAUCUAAAGUUUUUGAUAUCUGACUUUGAAUUUUGAUUUUUUUUAACUAUAUGUUCAUCUCUGGAUUUGUUACAUGUCAAAAUCCCUAUAUUUCACUGAUUUGAAUUAACCUUAAUUUCAUUACUCGAUUUUUGAUUUGUGAAGCUUGAUGAUACUCUGUCCUAAAUGAAUUUUUGCGAUCCUUAAUGAUUUUGGGUUGUGUGCUUUUGUCUUUUGAACUUAUGAUGGUGAACUGAUUACUGCCUAAUUUUAGUUCAAUAAUUGAUUUUGGAAAAGUUGUGAUUUCCCCAAUCCGUGUUCCCCUUCUAUUCAGGGUAAGCCUAUGCUUGUUUGUUUAUUUCGAUUGAUAAAUUCAAAGAAUGAUGGAUUUUCUUUCCUUUCCUCUAUGUUGACCGAUCUUUAAGUGGAACUGAG